This is a small nuclear RNA of Otolemur garnettii (small-eared galago), 106 nucleotides long. The record is from Ensembl. Lineage: Eukaryota; Metazoa; Chordata; Mammalia; Primates; Galagidae.
GUGCUCUCUUUGGCAGCACAUAUACAAAAAUUGGAAUGAUACGAGAACAUUAGCAUGGCCCCUGGGCAAGGAUGAUGAGCAAAUUCAUGAAGUGUCCAGUAUUUUU